GAUGAACGCUGGCGGCGUGCCUAAUACAUGCAAGUCGAGCGAACAGACGAGGAGCUUGCUCCUCUGACGUUAGCGGCGGACGGGUGAGUAACACGUGGAUAACCUACCUAUAAGACUGGGAUAACUUCGGGAAACCGGAGCUAAUACCGGAUAACAUGUUGAACCGCAUGGUUCAACAGUGAAAGACGGUCUUGCUGUCACUUAUAGAUGGAUCCGCGCCGCAUUAGCUAGUUGGUAAGGUAACGGCUUACCAAGGCAACGAUGCGUAGCCGACCUGAGAGGGUGAUCGGCCACACUGGAACUGAGACGCGGUCCAGACUCCUACGGGAGGCAGCAGUAGGGAAUCCUCCGCAAUGGGCGAAAGCCUGACGGAGCAACGCCGCGUGAGUGAAGAAGGUCUUCGGAUCGUAAAACUCUGUUAUUAGGGAAGAACAAAUGUGUAAGUAACUAUGCACGUCUUGAUGGUACCUAAUCAGAAAGCCACGGCUAACUACGUG
This 497-nucleotide ribosomal RNA is filed under the name uncultured bacterium. Its description in RNAcentral is "partial 16S ribosomal RNA". It matches the Rfam family "Bacterial small subunit ribosomal RNA", at positions 28 to 507 of the family's 1533-position model. The record is from RNAcentral.